Molecule: non-coding RNA, 59 nt
Organism: Agrobacterium sp. DSM 25559
Lineage: Bacteria; Pseudomonadati; Pseudomonadota; Alphaproteobacteria; Hyphomicrobiales; Rhizobiaceae
Source: Rfam
AUCAGAACUCGGGCCCCUCUGGCGUAUUACCGGACAAUACGCGAUGUCGAGUUUCUAAA